This 252-nucleotide unclassified non-coding RNA is filed under the name uncultured fungus. Its description in RNAcentral is "sequence contains ITS1, 5.8S rRNA gene". The stretch from base 204 to 252 matches the Rfam family "5.8S ribosomal RNA", at positions 1 to 49 of the family's 154-position model. The record is from RNAcentral. Lineage: Eukaryota; Fungi.
UUUCCGUAGGUGAACCUGCGGAAGGAUCAUUACAAUUUUGGUACAUCGAGUCGCCCUUCGGGGCGGCUCCGGUGUUACCAAUCGAGAUACCAACCCAUGUCUUUUGAGCACCUCACGUUUCCUCGGCAGGCUUGCCUGCCAAUGGGGACCCCUUUAAAACCUUUUUGUGUAUGCAGUAAACGUCUACAAACAAAUUAAAUCAAAACUUUCAACAACGGAUCUCUUGGUUCUGGCAUCGAUGAAGAACGCAGC